This 727-nucleotide long non-coding RNA is filed under the name Ficedula albicollis (Collared flycatcher). RNAcentral describes it as "lncRNA (ENSFALG00000028659.1)". The record is from RNAcentral. Lineage: Eukaryota; Metazoa; Chordata; Aves; Passeriformes; Muscicapidae.
AUGCACCCCGGGCACUCCUCACUCGGGCCUCUUUUUGUUCUCGCCCGUGCUCGCCGAAAGCGCCCACCCCAGCCGCUACUACGAAUUUACGGGCGCCACGCACACGCGUGCGCGCCCGGGGCCCAGCCUGCGUUUUCCGAAUGCCGUGGAACGCGCGCUGACCCCAGGGCAGCGCCGCGUUUACGGGAAAGGCAGCGAUGUUCCCCGGGCGCGGCUGCACGGCGGGGGCUGCGGCACCCGCGACCCGCCGGCAUAAGGGGCAAACUCAUCCAUCGUUACUGGUUUUGCUGUUCGCUGCCAGCGAAAGCCCGUAGCCGCAGACCGCCAGGAGAAUCCAUCCCGACAGCCAGGCUGGAUUUUUGUGGCUUGAAAUGCCUACGGAAGAUCUGGCAUUAUUGUCUUGGCAUUAUUAUUUCCUGUUUUGUCAUGCAAAAUGUGUAUGCUGAAAAUGCUGCCACCUGUGCAAGAGCACAUCAGGAGAGAUGGCAACAAACCAGGACACAAUUCAUGGAGAUGAGGUGCACCAACACACUCUGGCAAGAAGAGGUUUACACUGAGUAAGGCAGACUUCUGAGCACACAUGGCCAUCUCUGGGUAAGUUGUAGAAGCAAAUUUCAGAGCUUGGCAGAAGUAGAGGGGAGCUGCUCUAAGCCAAAUUGGGUGCGUGUAAGUUUGGCCACCCAGCAGAAAAGGUAUCUGGUACUUGCUCAGCAAAAUGGAGAGAUUU